AGAACGAACGCUGGCGGCAUGCCUAACACAUGCAAGUCGAACGCUUCCGGGGCUUCGGUCGCGGAGGAGUGGCGCACGGGUGAGUAGCGCGUGGGAACCUGCCCUGUUGUGGGGGAUAACCGAGGGAAACUUCGGCUAAUACCGCAUACGCCCCGGGACUUGGUCUUCGGAUUAGGUCUGGGGGGAAAGAUUGAUCGCAGCAGGAGGGGCCCGCGUCGGAUUAGCUGGUUGGUGGGGUAACGGCUCACCAAGGCGAUGAUCCGUAGCUGGUCUGAGAGGAUGAUCAGCCACACUGGGACUGAGACACGGCCCAGACUCCUACGGGAGGCAGCAGUGGGGAAUAUUGGACAAUGGGGGCAACCCUGAUCCAGCAAUGCCGCGUGAGUGAUGAAGGCCUUAGGGUUGUAAAGCUCUUUCGCCCGCGACGAUGAUGACGGUAGCGGGAGAAGAAGCCCGGCUAACUUCGUGCCAGCAGCCGCGGU
RNAcentral lists this ribosomal RNA (482 nucleotides) under uncultured bacterium. RNAcentral's name for it is "SSU rRNA". It matches the Rfam family "Bacterial small subunit ribosomal RNA", at positions 26 to 521 of the family's 1533-position model. The record is from RNAcentral.